RNAcentral lists this ribosomal RNA (755 nucleotides) under Bacillus sp. NBF1. RNAcentral's name for it is "bacterial SSU rRNA". It matches the Rfam family "Bacterial small subunit ribosomal RNA", at positions 28 to 771 of the family's 1533-position model. The record is from RNAcentral. Lineage: Bacteria; Bacillati; Bacillota; Bacilli; Caryophanales; Bacillaceae.
GGUAGACGCUGGCGGCGUGCCUAAUCAUGCAAGUCGAGCGGACUUACAAAAGCUUGCUUUNUUAGUUAGCGGCGGACGGGUGAGUAACACGUGGGCAACCUGCCCUUGAGACUGGGAUAACUUCGGGAAACCGGAGCUAAUACCGGAUAAUAUAAGGAACCUCCUGGUUCCUUGUUGAAAGAUGGUUUCGGCUAUCACUUAAGGAUGGGCCCGCGGCGCAUUAGCUAGUUGGUGAGGUAACGGCUCACCAAGGCGACGAUGCGUAGCCGACCUGAGAGGGUGAUCGGCCACACUGGGACUGAGACACGGNCCAGACUCCUACGGGAGGCAGCANUAGGGAAUCUUCCACAAUGGACGAAAGUCUGAUGGAGCAACGCCGCGUGAGUGAUGAAGGCCUUCGGGUCGUAAAGCUCUGUUGUUAGGGAAGAACAAGUGCGAGAGUAACUGCUCGCACCUUGACGGUACCUAACCAGAAAGCCACGGCUAACUACGUGCCAGCAGCCGCGGUAAUACGUAGGUGGCAAGCGUUAUCCGGAAUUAUUGGGCGUAAAGCGCGCGCAGGUGGUUUCUUAAGUCUGAUGUGAAAGCCCACGGCUCAACCGUGGAGGGUCAUUGGAAACUGGGGAACUUGAGUGCAGAAGAGGAAAGUGGAAUUCCAAGUGUAGCGGUGAAAUGCGUAGAGAUUUGGAGGAACACCAGGGCGAAGGCGACUUUCUGGUCUGAACUACACUGAGGCGCGAAAGCGUGGGACAACA